RNAcentral lists this ribosomal RNA (759 nucleotides) under Staphylococcus aureus. RNAcentral's name for it is "bacterial SSU rRNA". It matches the Rfam family "Bacterial small subunit ribosomal RNA", at positions 51 to 792 of the family's 1533-position model. Lineage: Bacteria; Bacillati; Bacillota; Bacilli; Caryophanales; Staphylococcaceae. The record is from RNAcentral.
AUACAUGCAAGUCGAGCGAACGGAUGAGAAGCUUGCUUCUCUGAUGUUAGCGGCGGACGGGUGAGUAACACGUGGAUAACCUACCUAUAAGACUGGGAUAACUUCGGGAAACCGGAGCUAAUACCGGAUAAUAUUUUGAACCGCAUGGUUCAAAAGUGAAAGACGGUCUUGCUGUCACUUAUAGAUGGAUCCGCGCUGCAUUAGCUGGUUGGUAAGGUAACGGCUUACCAAGGCAACGAUGCAUAGCCGACCUGAGAGGGUGAUCGGCCACACUGGAACUGAGACACGGUCCAGACUCCUACGGGAGGCAGCAGUAGGGAAUCUUCCGCAAUGGGCGAAAGCCUGACGGAGCAACGCCGCGUGAGUGAUGAAGGUCUUCGGAUCGUAAAACUCUGUUAUUAGGGAAGAACAUAUGUGUAAGUAACUGUGCACAUCUUGACGGUACCUAAUCAGAAAGCCACGGCUAACUACGUGCCAGCAGCCGCGGUAAUACGUAGGUGGCAAGCGUUAUCCGGAAUUAUUGGGCGUAAAGCGCGCGUAGGCGGUUUUUUAAGUCUGAUGUGAAAGCCCACGGCUCAACCGUGGAGGGUCAUUGGAAACUGGAAAACUUGAGUGCAGAAGAGGAAAGUGGAAUUCCAUGUGUAGCGGUGAAAUGCGCAGAGAUAUGGAGGAACACCAGUGGCGAAGGCGACUUUCUGGUCUGUAACUGACGCUGAUGUGCGAAAGCGUGGGGAUCAAACAGGAUUAGAUACCCUGGUA